GUUUGUUGGGUUUUUUUGCGAAAAAUAUUUUUAAAUAAAUUUUUGCCUUUUUUUACAUUCUGAUAUACAUAUGUAACAAGGUUUUUAUGGCACUGUAACCAGAAUUAAUCAAAAGGGAAAGGUGGGAAGGAAGUUAGUAGCGUGUGGAAUCCCUUCCCCGGCUGGCAAAUUCACCCCGUCAGCCACUCACGCCAGCCUCAACUCCCUGCACACUCAAAACACCGCAUUAUUGCACUGGAGCCCGUGAAGGCAGGCGGUGUAAUGGUCACUUCCCUGCUAUUCAAAAGAUCUCUUAAACCAGAGAGGGGGAAAAGAUCCAGAGCACGAAACACACAGAGUAACGGCGACUCGGUCUCUUUAGAGAAGGCAGAAGGGUUCUGGGGCCACCGCGGCUCCGAUCGUCCCUGCAGCUGGCACUCGGGCGUGGGUGGCGGGUUUGGUUUCCUAUGUGGUGGCCGGGGGACCCGAGCCUGCAGCAUUCCAUGUCUCGCUCCUCACUUUGGGUUCUUCUGAAUUGGUUUAAGGUUUGGUAUCUUCGGUCUAUGAACCUGCACAGACUAUUUAGUUGUAAACUCUACAAAUAGCUUAAAAGGAAAAGGGGAAGAGCCAGUUUUAUUACAUUUUUAUCGUUGGGUUAACAAAUGACUUCUUUAACCUUCCUGCUUGUCACUUUGCAGGAAGUGAAUCUCAAUGGCCUCAAAAGUUACAGUCUUUCACACUUGCUAAAAAUAAAAAGUCUUUCAACAAAUUUGCUUCCAUUCACGAACUAUACCCCAACUAAAACAGAGAAAGAGAAAGAAAACUGACAAAACCCGAAUCCAUCCUCCCCCGGCCCUGGCGGAGCACCUGCCCCAUGCCGGUGGUCACACGACUGUCUCCACGCCCAUGAGCUUGGGCGUCAGGAUCCGUGGGGUCACACCAUUGUUGAGGUCUUCCUCGAACUCCAGCAACUGCCCCAUGAAGUUAAGGUUUGGGGAAAUAAUUGGUCGUUUGCCUUUGACGAAUUUGUACGCAUCCGUCAUGGUCAUCCACGUGUGCUUCAUUAGGUAGGCGAUGACAAUGGUGGCGGACCGUGACACGCCGGCCUGGCAGUGAAUGAGGAGCCCCUUG
RNAcentral lists this long non-coding RNA (1110 nucleotides) under Heterocephalus glaber (naked mole-rat). RNAcentral's name for it is "lncRNA (ENSHGLG00000045163.1)". Lineage: Eukaryota; Metazoa; Chordata; Mammalia; Rodentia; Bathyergidae. The record is from RNAcentral.